CUUCCGUAGGGGGAACCUGCGGAGGGAUCAUUACACAAAUAUGAAGGCGGGCUGGAACCUCUCGGGGUUACAGCCUUGCUGAAUUAUUCACCCUUGUCUUUUGCGUACUUCUUGUUUCCUUGGUGGGUUCGCCCACCACUAGGACAAACAUAAACCUUUUGUAAUUGCAAUCAGCGUCAGUAACAAAUUAAUAAUUACAACUUUCAACAACGGAUCUCUUGGUUCUGGCAUCGAUGAAGAACGCAGCGAAAUGCGAUAAGUAGUGUGAAUUGCAGAAUUCAGUGAAUCAUCGAAUCUUUGAACGCACAUUGCGCCCUUUGGUAUUCCAAAGGGCAUGCCUGUUCGAGCGUCAUUUGUACCCUCAAGCUUUGCUUGGUGUUGGGCGUCUUGUCUCUAGCUUUGCUGGAGACUCGCCUUAAAGUAAUUGGCAGCCGGCCUACUGGUUUCGGAGCGCAGCACAAGUCGCACUCUCUAUCAGCAAAGGUCUAGCAUCCACUAAGCCUUUUUUUCAACUUUUGACCUCGGAUCAGGUAGGGAUACCCGCUGAACUUAAGCAUAUCAAUAAGCGGAGGAAGGGAUCC
Molecule: ribosomal RNA, 581 nt
Filed under: Alternaria sp. CPCC 480171
Lineage: Eukaryota; Fungi; Ascomycota; Dothideomycetes; Pleosporales; Pleosporaceae
Description: eukaryotic LSU rRNA
Rfam family: 5.8S ribosomal RNA (bases 199-352)
Source: RNAcentral